UUGCCUUGCUGGAGAAGGGGCUCAAGGCACAGGACUUGCCUCGGACUUGCCAAGGAGGCUUGCAGGAGGCUCUUUGUCUACUCCUCUGUCCUCAUCCAAGCACAUAGGAUAGGAAGGGGCCUCGCAUGGUGCCUCUCCCUUUAGGGGAAAUGGUUGUUCCAGAAAAAAUGCAGCAACACCUGAACUCUUCUAAAGAAAAAGAAGACAAAAUGAUCUAGUGCAUCUCUGCCAUCCUGUUGAAGAUCCUAUUUGAAAAAAGGGAGACACAGAGAAAGGUUUUUUUUUUUUUUUAAAAGUGAUAGAAUAAUCCAAAGUUAAAAAUUCAACACAAUGGAAAAUAUUAAUUCAAUCCAUGCUGCAAACAAG
This 366-nucleotide long non-coding RNA is filed under the name Homo sapiens (human). RNAcentral's name for it is "HSALNT0105583". Lineage: Eukaryota; Metazoa; Chordata; Mammalia; Primates; Hominidae. The record is from RNAcentral.